AUCCCGAUCAGCAUGAGGAAGAC
RNAcentral lists this non-coding RNA (23 nucleotides) under Cricetulus griseus (Chinese hamster). The record is from RNAcentral. Lineage: Eukaryota; Metazoa; Chordata; Mammalia; Rodentia; Cricetidae.